UACGUAGGGGGCAAGCGUUGUCCGGAUUUAUUGGGCGUAAAGAGCGUGUAGGCGGUCAGGUAGGUCCGUUGUGAAAACUCGAGGCUCAACCUCGAGACGCCGAUGGAAACCAUCUGACUAGAGUACGGAAGAGGCGAGUGGAAUUCCUGGUGUAGCGGUGAAAUGUGCAGAUAUCAGGAGGAACACCAAUUGCGAAGGCAGCUCGCUGGGACGUUAACUGACGCUGAGACGCGAAAGCGUGGGGAGCAAACAGG
This 254-nucleotide ribosomal RNA is filed under the name uncultured bacterium. RNAcentral's name for it is "partial 16S ribosomal RNA". It matches the Rfam family "Bacterial small subunit ribosomal RNA", at positions 524 to 776 of the family's 1533-position model. The record is from RNAcentral.